RNAcentral lists this ribosomal RNA (466 nucleotides) under Acinetobacter baumannii. Its description in RNAcentral is "bacterial SSU rRNA". It matches the Rfam family "Bacterial small subunit ribosomal RNA", at positions 243 to 701 of the family's 1533-position model. Lineage: Bacteria; Pseudomonadati; Pseudomonadota; Gammaproteobacteria; Moraxellales; Moraxellaceae. The record is from RNAcentral.
AGCUAGUAGGUGGGGUAACGGCUCACCUAGGCGACGAUCCCUAGCUGGUCUGAGAGGAUGACCAGCCACACUGGAACUGAGACACGGUCCAGACUCCUACGGGAGGCAGCAGUGGGGAAUAUUGCACAAUGGGCGCAAGCCUGAUGCAGCCAUGCCGCGUGUAUGAAGAAGGCCUUCGGGUUGUAAAGUACUUUCAGCGGGGAGGAAGGGAGUAAAGUUAAUACCUUUGCUCAUUGACGUUACCCGCAGAAGAAGCACCGGCUAACUCCGUGCCAGCAGCGGCGGUAAUACGGAGGGUGCAAGCGUUAAUCGGAAUUACUGGUCGUAAAGCGCACGCAGGCGGUUUGUUAAGUCAGAUGUGAAAUCCCCGGGCUCAACCUGGGAACUGCAUCUGAGACUGGCAAGCUGGAGUCUCGGAGAGGGGGGUAUAAUUCCAGGUGUAGCGGUGAAAUGCGUAGAGAUCUGG